GUGAGAAUUCGUAUAUCAAAGCAGUAUAUGAUUUGUCAUACCUCACGAAUCUUCGAUUCCGAUGUUUUCCAUAUCACAGUGAUCUCAUUUUCCACCUCAGCCCCCAUGGUUUUCGUUUCCGGAAGGCAUGCAAGGUGGCACAUGACCACACAGCAAAAGUAAUAAAACAAAGAAAGAAGAUGCUUAAGAAUGAAAAAGAACUGGAGAAAAUUCAGCAGAAGCGGUACCUUGACUUUCUUGAUAUCCUACUUUGUGCCAGAGAUGAAGAGGGAAAG
This is a long non-coding RNA of Protopterus annectens (West African lungfish), 275 nucleotides long. RefSeq lists it as uncharacterized. NCBI's taxonomy places the organism in Eukaryota, Metazoa, Chordata, Ceratodontiformes, Protopteridae. The transcript has 4 exons. The record is from RefSeq and is a predicted model, not a curated record.